RNAcentral lists this long non-coding RNA (3305 nucleotides) under Sus scrofa (pig). RNAcentral describes it as "lncRNA (ENSSSCG00000053132.1)". Lineage: Eukaryota; Metazoa; Chordata; Mammalia; Artiodactyla; Suidae. The record is from RNAcentral.
AAAUCCUUGUUGCUUAUCUAUUUUAUAUACAGUAGUUUGUUAUCUGUUAAUCUCAUACUCCUGAUUCUCCCUACCCUCCAACUUUUCCCUUUGGUAGCCAUAAGUUUGUGUUCUAUGUCUGCAAGUCUAUUUCUGUUUAUUAUAUAAAUUCAUUCACAUUAUUUUUUAGAUUCCACAUAUAAAUGAUUGCAUAUAAUAUUUGUCUUUCUCUGUCUGACUUAAUAUUCUCUAGGUCCAUCCAUGUUGCUGCCAGUGAGGAUAUUUCAUUCUUUUUAUGGCUAAUAUUCCAUUGUGUAUGUGUGUAUGUGUGUACAUGGAUUGUUUCUAUGUCUUGGCUAUUGAAAACAUUUUAAAUUUGAUUAAUAAGAUUUCCUGUUGUGGCUCAACGGUAACGAACCUGACUAGUACCCAUGAGAAUGCAGGUUCGAUGUCUGACCUCACUCAGUGGGUUAACGAUCCGACGUUGCCAUGAGCUGUGGUGUAGGUUGCAGACAUGGUUCAGAUCUCACAUUGCUGUGGCUGUGGUGUAGGCUGGCGGCUGGAGCUCCCAUUUGAACCCCCUAGACUGGGAACGUCUAUACGCCAUGGGUGAGGCCCUAAAAAAGACUAGAUAAAUAAAUAAAUUUGAUUGAGUGAUAGCAUCUCACAAAGAAGAUAAAACAGCACAACAUAUUUACUUCAAAAUGUAAUUUUUACAUGAAUUCAAUGACAAAAUUAGCCUAUCUUGGGCUGCUUUGAGGUUUCUCGGAGCUACCACAACUUCCAAGCCCCUCUUCUGAAUAUGAAACACCCUCUCCUCAUCUCCUAACCCAUCUGGCAGUUGGAAUAUUCAUGAGCCACUUCUGCAAACACCAACCAGGCCUCUUUCCAUCCAGACUCCUAAACCCACUUCUGAAGCAUCCCUUCCGGUCACUAGAAGACUCGUAAAUGUCAAACCUAAUGGCCAGUUUUCAGUCCUUAUCCUACCUCAUCUUAUCUCAGCAUCUGACUUGGAGGACCACACUCUUUUGACUAUUAUUCCCUUAACUUUCACACAAGUACCUUUUCCUCAUUCUCUUGCCUCUUUUACAGCCUCUUCUUAGUCUGCUUUAGGAGCACCUCCUCUGUCCUUGUCUUCAAGAAACCUCCACCCCCACAAGCUUAUUGUCACUCUCUAAGCUCCUCCUAGGUGCCAAUUCAACUGCCACAAGUUCAUCUGUCAUCUAAUUACUCUCAAAUCUCUGUUUCUAACCCUGAUCUCCUCCUAAGAUUUAAGGUCAAAACCUACAGGUCAGCCUCUUGGGAUAUUCUGCAGACAAGUUGAUUAUCAAAACAGAGCCCACCUUCUCUUGAACCCCCCAGCCCAGUCCAUUCUUCCUACUUUUUCUGUCUCCAUUAAUAGAAAUAAUUCUUCCUGACUUUUCCCUUCCUCACCUGUUUAUCUAAUUGAUCACCAAGCUUUGUCAGUUCUCCCUCUCCUGUAUCUCCUCCUCUCCUGUAAUUACAUUCAUGCCUCUAUCUGGAUUACUAUUUUCCCACUAUAACUACUUAUGUUAAAAAUCCAGUUCAAGGGAGUUCCCUGGUGGCCCAGCAGGUUAAGGAUCCAGCACUGUUACUGCUGUGGUGUGGGUUCCAUCCCUGGCCUGGGAACUUACACAUGCCAUGGGUAUGGCUGGGGGAAAAAAAAAAAAAAAAAGAUCCAGUUCAAAAGUCAAGUUCUUGAAAAAGUUUCCUCUUAACCUCCCAGGCAAUUAGUUGCUUCUUCCUCCUUUUUUUCUCAAGCAUACAUUUUUUUCUCAACAUAUCCUUAUUGCAGUUUAUACAAUCAUAAAGUAUCAUAUAAUUUUUAUUGAUAUAGGUGUCUUCUAAGCCAGGACUAUCCACUGCCACAUAAUACAUGCCCAAUAAAUAUUUGCACAGGGAAAUAGUUACUUCUCCAAAUCUCUGCAGUGAGUUGGAGACUUAGAGGUGGCAGGCUCACCAAGGAUUUUCGCUGUCAGAACAACUGUAAUUGUUAUUAUCUGGUUGUACUUUUGCUCAUAUUCUCUAUACUGGAACUCUUCCUGCCUUUCUGUUUAGCUCCCUUCUUAGAAGUCUGUCCCCUAAGUAAGCAAGAGAAAAGAAUACCAGGUUGACACAGUUGGACACCUUCUUUCCCCCUCCCCAAUCAAUAAUCUAUAGGCACUUAAAUGUAACAUGACUAUGUGAUAUGAUGUAAGUUUUCAUCCUUUGUAAUUCUGAUCCUUUUUCAACUCAGAAAAGGCUACAGUGUAGGAGACCUGGAGUUUGAGAAGCAAGCUCUGGUCUAAUCUAGGGAAGAAAUGAUUCCACCACUCUGAGCUUCAGUUUCUCCUCCUCUUCAUCUUCUUCUCCUUCUCCUCCUCCUCCUUCUUGUUUUGGUUGGCCAUGACUAAAGCAUGCAGAAGUUUCCAUUCAGAGAUCAAAUUGGCACCACAGCAGUGACCUGAGUCACUGCAGUGACUAUGCUGGAUCCUUAACCUGCGGCGCCACAAGAGAACACCCAGUUUCUUCCCUUGAAAAUGGCUUGGAGUAAGACAUUUAUAAAUGGCUAGCACAAUGUAUAAAUAUGUAGCAGUUAUUCAUUUAUGCAACAAAUAUUCACUGACUGCUUAGUAUUAAGUAAUGUGCUAGGUGCAGGUAUAUAGCCCUCAAUAAAAACAUGAGUUUGUUUUCUUGUGUGUUUUAGACUUUUUAAAAAAAAUUCUAUAUAGCACUGUUUCCUCCCCACCACAUCCCCUCUUGACCAAAAUAGUUUUUCUCUGAAUUCCUCCUUUAAGGUCUGCUAAGUAGCAUGGAGUAGUGGUUAACAGCAUGAGCUUUAAACCAGACUUUCAAGGCUUGAAUGCCAGCUCUAGAACCUUUUAACUGUGAGACUUCGGGUAAGUUGCUUAACUUCUUGAUGUUUUUCUUUCUGCAUUGUUUAAGUGCAAAAAAAAUACCUACUCCAUUAGAUUGUUAUAAAGAAUAAAAUAGCUAAUAACACUUAAAAUGUUAUCUGGCACUAAGUAAAGUGCUUAAGAAAUGGUAGCUAUUAUUAUUUACAACCUGCAGUUCAUACGAUGCUUACCUUGCCAUGGAAAUCAUUUCAUGAUAAAAUAUAAGAAAGAAAUUAAAGAUCUCAUUUCUCACUUAUUUUCCUUUAAAUAACUCUGCUUAGAAGUUUUCUUACACACCUGCACUGUCUUGCCUCAUGAAUCCACCAAGUGUUUGAAAUGUUGCUGAUUGGAAGAGUAGGGUUUCAAGUAUAAAUCAAACCAUAUUUUUAAAACUUAGAGGAUGGAUAUCAGUGAAAACAAAAUAAGGAA